GCAAGUCGAGCGGUAACAGGUCUAGCUUGCUAGAUGCUGACGAGCGGCGGACGGGUGAGUAACGCGUAGGAAUCUACCUAGUAGUGGGGGAUAGCCCAGAGAAAUUUGGAUUAAUACCGCAUACGCCCUACGGGGGAAAGGAGGGGAUCUUCGGACCUUUCGCUAUUAGAUGAGCCUGCGUGAGAUUAGCUAGUUGGUGGGGUAAAGGCUCACCAAGGCGACGAUCUCUAGCUGGUCUGAGAGGAUGAUC
RNAcentral lists this ribosomal RNA (250 nucleotides) under uncultured bacterium. RNAcentral's name for it is "partial 16S ribosomal RNA". It matches the Rfam family "Bacterial small subunit ribosomal RNA", at positions 57 to 305 of the family's 1533-position model. The record is from RNAcentral.